This 529-nucleotide ribosomal RNA is filed under the name Bdellovibrionales bacterium. RNAcentral's name for it is "partial 23S ribosomal RNA". It matches the Rfam family "Bacterial large subunit ribosomal RNA", at positions 989 to 1514 of the family's 2925-position model. The record is from RNAcentral. Lineage: Bacteria; Pseudomonadati; Bdellovibrionota; Bdellovibrionia; Bdellovibrionales.
CUAUGGGGGAUAAGCUUCAUGGUCGCGAGGGAAAAAGCCCAGACCGCCAGCUAAGGCCCUAAAAUACAAUUAAGUGCAUAAGGAUGUGAAAUCGCUUAGACAGCUAGGAUGUUGGCUUAGAGGCAGCCACCAUUUAAACAGUGCGUAACAGCUGACUAGCCAAGUGGUUUCGCGCCGAAAAUGAUCGGGACUAAAUUGUAUGCCGAAGCUGCGGAUUGUACUCCUUCGGGAGUACAGUGGUAGAGGAGCGUUCCAUACGGGCUGAAGGGUUAGGGUAACCGAACCUGGACUGUAUGGAAGUGAUUAUGCGGACAUGAGUAACGAUAAGAUAGGUGAGAAUCCUAUCCGCCUAAAUCCUAAGAUUUCCUGGGGAAGGUUCGUCCGCCCAGGGUUAGUCGGUCCCUAAGCCGAGGCCAUAUGGCGUAGGUGAUGGGUAACAGGUUCAAUAUUCCUGUACUACUUGUUCAGCGUUUGAGCAAUGGAGCGACGCAGGAAGCUAGGUCAGCCACCGAUUGGAAGUGGUGGUCGA